This 2256-nucleotide long non-coding RNA is filed under the name Mus musculus (house mouse). RNAcentral's name for it is "long non-coding RNA chr3:68601795-68604051". Lineage: Eukaryota; Metazoa; Chordata; Mammalia; Rodentia; Muridae. The record is from RNAcentral.
AGAGAGACCUUCCCAGGCUGCUUUAUUAUAGAUAAACACGCACACCCCGUCACUUUCUCUUUUAUCCAGUUUAUCCACUUACCUCGACAUGGUUCUCUUUAGACCCAUUACCCUUAUUAAGACAUUUACAGAAUGUCUAUAAAUCUGUUCUUUGUCUUUAGCCAGCACCCAAAUGUAAGUUAUUGGGAAGCAAGUCUUUGGUGUGUUUGUUACCAAGGCAACCACAUGACAUGAGGUCAACUCUCCAAGUAUGGUUGAACAAAUGAGUCGGGAUCUCCACGAUGGAACUAACCAAACUGGGGCAGUCAGUCCUUCACUGGAAUUCAGUCAACUGAACGUAUCUAGUCUUUUCUCUUAGUCUGUGACUUACAGUAGAAAAGAACCGCUGAACCUCACUGUGAGGGGUUGUAUGCAAGUCUGGUAGUGUCUGAUGACCCUAGGAAGGGAAGGCUUGGAAGUUUAGUGUGUGUUUAGGGUACUCCAGUCUAGAGCACUUCUGAUGUGAGAAUAAACUUCCUGAUUCUUCGAGGCCAGAGAUUAGCCAGGCAGAGAGCUGGUCUAGAUGGUCCUUUCAAGUACAGAGUCUGUGAGUUGCUCUGAGUCUCUGCACCCCUGAGUAUUCGCAGGAUUCUGCAGUGUCAAUUUCUGCUCCUCCAGUAGCAGCCCCUCUCACAUGCCGCUGAAACACUUGAAUAUCUCUGUACAUUUUAUUUUAUCUUCCUAAGAUUUUCAUACUCUUGUGCUGGUGUUUCUCUUUCCUGGGUAUCUGUCUUCCUGUCACAGAUGUUAGGAGGAUUUCAUAAGAACAGGUAGAUAGUGGUAUCCACCACGUUAUGCUUAAGUCUCAUGGAGGUUUUCAAUAUUUGUCUGGUUUGAGUUCAUGUUUCUGUUUUUGUUUUUGAGACAGGGCCUCACUAUGUAGCUCUGGCUGGCCUGGAACUCAACAUGUAGACCAGGCUGGCCUCAAACUCACAAAGGCUAGCCUGCGUCUGCCUCUUAAGUCUUGGGAUUAAAGCAGUACACCACCACACCUAACCUCAGCAGAAAUACCUUCUCAAGUAAAAUUCUACGAAGAAACCCUGUAUGUAAAACCAAAUAUUCCUUCUCCAAUUGGAGAGUACUGAGGAUCAGGAAUUGGGGUUCCCAAAAAUUGCUUCCCCCGUCCUCUUUUCUGCCCUUCUACCAUUUGGUUCCUAUCUCCAUUUCCCAGAGCCACUUGAGACUUAGAGCAGAGCCAAAUUGGAAAAGCACCGAGUCCUCUUCCCCUGGAGACAGCUAUGCAAACACGAAUGUACUUCGAAGUAGCGUAUAACAAGCUGCACUUGUUGGCUCGCCUUGGAGAGAUUAUUUAUAGAGUGUUCUCUCAGAGGGACUCAUCUCUGUUCUAGGAUGAGCGCAUCAUUUGCGAGAACACCAUGACUUUUCUAAUUUCUCUCAAGGUGAUAUUUAAGAAGGAUCCUAAAUGUUUCUAAGAAACAUCGCUUUAUCUUGUAAAUAGAAAAUCUGUUAUGAUUGACUACCGUCAUCCUCAUUAGCCAUAAUGUAGUGUCAGGGGGCGGAGGGAUCUCCAGGAAAACUAAAUUGCUGUUAGAUAUCCCUAUUAUAUAACCUGUGGUCAUUGAGGCUAUUAAGGAUGUAAAUUUUCUCCGUAAGUGUUUUUAUUGAUUUCAUUUUGUUCCUUGUUAAUUUCAUAUGCGUUUAGAAGGCAUGCUGGUUCCUCUCUCUUGUCACCUUCUGUAUCUUCCUCCCACUCCUACCAAACCCGCCCCGAUCACUACCAGUCAUUCCAAAAGCAUUUCACGGGGUGGGAACUACCUUGUCUCUUACAGAAGUAUUUGAGGAUGUCAGCUCAGCACUACAGUACUCCAGAAUGCACAAGAGCAGGUGUGUUGCGUUAGCUACACAUCUAGAACCAGAUAGACCUGUUGUGAAUGCACUACCCUGAAGACUUCGGUCCUCAGUAUGAAAUGGAGUGCAGCCUUUACAACUAAUUGACAGAGCCAGGCCUGGUAACACAGGCCCAGCACAGAGAAGACUGAGGCAGAAGGAAGAGUAAGUUUGAGGCUGAUAUACGAAGCACCAGGCAAGCUGGGGUGACCAAGUGAGACUCUAUGCAGAAACACCCCCACCAAGUAUUGGAUUCUGAAAUUGGAAGCUUGUUUUCUAAGGCAGGGCCUACUGAAGUAAAUGGGAUCUUUGGAAACCAAAUCAAUCUACCUCCUGUUCAUGCUCAUUAAAGGGUGUGAACUCACCUGC